CAGAGCUUGUGUCAGUGACCGAAGAAAUCAGUGCUGCGGUACAUUGUGAAAUAGGAAUCAGCAUCUAGAAGAGAGAAUGCCGUAGCUUAUCUACACCGAAAGCGUGAAUAAUGAACCACGCCUGUUAUCCUACCCCACAGAGUCACAAGAGACCCACGGAACAGGUUUCUGGCUUCAUCUAAACACCUUUCUUUGGAUAGGAAGUCAAUGACAGCCAUGACAUCAAAGAGUGUGUAAUGACCAAAACUAAGAUCAUUUUCGAUAGCGGAGCAUAUUAAGCACAGAACAAAACCGCAUUCAAUAGCUGACUUAUUUUAAUUACCACAAAUUCAACUGGCAUAACCUUGCAAAUAAUACAACAUUUCAAAGGCGGGGUAACGUCAUUGACCAGACAACAACUAGGCUGUUAAAUGCAAUUCAAUAGCCUACAGCUUUCCGCUGGAGAAGGGAGAGUUCAUUACCUUUCUGAAUAUGAUCCUGACAUCUCCUGUCAAUUGGCAACAGCUACCAAUUGACCAGACAACCUUUUAGGAGAAAUGGCAUCAGUUCCAUUGGAGAACACAGACAAGUCAUUGCAACUUAACACAUAUCCAGACCAUACAUACACAGUCUGAAGGAGAAGGUCACAGCGUGAACCAGCUUGCCGGUGUGGUUUAACCACAGGAGAGAGCCAGGAUGCCAGUACCUCAGACCAAACUUGGGAGGAGAUUACAGCCAAGAGCUUCGCCAAAGGGGCCCUGGGUUUAUCAAACCCCCAACUACACUCCACUAUCCUUGGGAACAACUCCACGAACACAGGUGGUGUGGCGCUUACUUCAUCACCCUUCCAGAAAACCAGCAAACCAGCUCAAUGGUCAAUGCUGUAGAUGUCUCUGAUCUCUCUGGAAAUCAAAGAGGAAGUAGGAACCAUAGGACUUCCUGUUAUAAAACAAAAGAGGGGCGGUUUCUGUUUAAGGAUUGUGGAAAAGGUGUCGCCCAUAGCAAGGCCGUAGCCAUGGAGUCAACAUUGGGGGGGACGAAUUCACUUUUUUAUGAUAAUUUCGGACAGAGUGCACGGUUGCCUGUCGUAGCGUAGCACAUUUAUAAUUGUAUAUCAAUAUAUUGGGGGGGACAUUUUGACCAGAUUUUAAUAUUGAGAUGCGUCCCCCCCAAUAUAUAUUAUGAUUUCGGCCUUGGCCCAUAUAAAUAUAUGGUUUACCUGGGCGCACUAGUGUCACACUCCCAUGUGUGACAGGUAAGGCUGCAGCUCAGUAGCCUUUGUGGGCAGGGGCGGUUUUAGGCACGGGCGGACCGGGCAGCCGCCCGGGGCGGCAUUUUUUCAUGUCACGUGUGGGGCGCACGAGCAUAAAAUCAAUAAAUAAAAAUCUCUGCGCCGCGAAGCGGUUUUCUCUUUUCUAUCAUUUCACUGUGUGGGGAAUUGGCAAAUUGGCGCCCCCUUCAGGCAGCUGCAGGCACCCCUGCUUGCUGAGAAGGUGCCGUGCACAGAAGCUGUGUGAAAAAAGGGGAGGGACAGACAGCUCAUCUGACUGGGUCUCCCAAAUGGAACAGACAAUUCAUAAUAUUAUAAAUAUAGGCCUAAAGUUCCUGCACAUUUUUGUUUUUUUUUAAUUGUGUGAAAUGGCGAAUUAAAAAAAAAUGGGUAUAGGCUAACUCUUACGUUUGUUAGUCUUUUUGCUAUGAUGCUUGCUAUGCAACAACAAUAUUUCGGUUUUAACUCAACAAACAGGAGCCAACAUUUCACCAUAAUAGUGUGCUUUGCAACAAAACUGUAACAAGUUCAGUUAUUAUUUAUUUUCAUUAUUUAGGUUAGGCCCUGUAAUUAGCCAACGGAAUUUUCAAAUCUGUAGGUAGUUUCAAAGACGAACAUUUGCUAUUUGCUACAACUAUAUUUUGUGACAAAGUAUAGUUUAACGUCAUAACUAAAAGUGUUCCUCCCUAAAAGUUAUAUUAAUAUAGCAUGUAAUAACAGACAUUUAGCGUGUAAGGGCAUGUUUAUGUAACCCUCCUAUUAUGUUUGGUAUCAAUUU
This is a long non-coding RNA of Osmerus eperlanus (European smelt), 2027 nucleotides long. RefSeq lists it as uncharacterized. Lineage: Eukaryota; Metazoa; Chordata; Actinopteri; Osmeriformes; Osmeridae. The transcript is spliced from 3 exons. The record is from RefSeq and is a predicted model, not a curated record.